GACGAACGCUGGCGGCGUGCCUAACACAUGCAAGUCGAACGGAAAGGCCCUGCUUUUGUUGGGUUCUCGAUUGGCGAACGCGUGUGUAACACGUGAGUAUCAUGCCCUUGUCUUUCUGGUAACUUCUGGGAACUGGGGCUAAUACCGGAUAGAAUCUCCUGCAGCACGGUGGGGGUUAGAAAGUUUCGGCGGUUGGGGAUAGUCUGGCGGGUUAUCAGCUUGUUGGUCGGGUAGGUGCGUUCCAAGCCUUUGACGGCUAGCCGACAUGAGAGGGUGACCGGGCACAAUGCGACUGAGAUACGGCCCAGAAUCCUACGGUAGGCAGCAGUGGAGAAUAUUGCACAAUGGGCGGGAGCCUGAUGCAGCAACGCCGCGUGCGGGAUGACGGCCUUCGAGUUGUAAACCGCUUUCGCCUGUGACGAAGCGUGAGUGACGGUAAUGGGUCAAGAAGCACCGGCUAACUACGUG
Molecule: ribosomal RNA, 468 nt
Filed under: uncultured bacterium
Lineage: Bacteria
Description: partial 16S ribosomal RNA
Rfam family: Bacterial small subunit ribosomal RNA
Source: RNAcentral